CAUCAAAAACCCCAGGCCGUCAUAGAGCGAAACGGGGCCCCGGGCUCAACCUGGGAACUGCAUCUGAUACUGGCAAGCUUGAGUCUCGUAGAGGGGGGUAUAAUUCCAGGUGUAGCGGUGAAAUGCGUAGAGAUCUGGAGGAAUACCGGUGGCGAAGUCGGCCACCUGGACGAAGACUGACGCUCAGGUGCGAAAGCGUGGGGAGCAAACAGGAUUAGAU
RNAcentral lists this ribosomal RNA (220 nucleotides) under Escherichia coli. RNAcentral describes it as "partial 16S ribosomal RNA". It matches the Rfam family "Bacterial small subunit ribosomal RNA", at positions 559 to 783 of the family's 1533-position model. The record is from RNAcentral. Lineage: Bacteria; Pseudomonadati; Pseudomonadota; Gammaproteobacteria; Enterobacterales; Enterobacteriaceae.